AAAUACUACCCAGUGACCGAUAGCGUAUAGUACUGUGAAGGAAAGGUGAAAAGGACCCCGGGAGGGGAGUGAAAUAGAACCUGAAACCUUGUGCCUACAAGCACAUAGAGCACAUCAACGUGUGAUAUGGUACUUUUUGUAGAACGGUCCGGCGAGCGAUUGUAUGUUGCGAGCUUAAGGUCUUAAGGACUGGAGGCGUAGCGAGAGCGAGUCUAAACAGGGCGUUUAGUAGCGUGCAAUGGGCCCGAAACCGGGUGACCUACCCAUGAUCAGGCUGAAGUGAAAGUAAAAUUUCAUGGAGGGCCGAACCGACCUCCGUUGAAAAGGCGGCGGAUGAAUUGUGGGUAGCGGAGAAAUUCCAAUCGAACUCGGAGAUAGCUGGUUCUCCCCGAAAUAGCUUUAGGGCUAGCCUCAUAUUAGAUACCCGGAGGUAAAGCACUGAAUGGCCUAGCGCCCGAGAGGGUAGCGAAGCCUAUCAAACUAAGAAUGCCGGAGUAUUGAUGUAUGGGAGUCAGACAGUGUGAGAUAAAUCUCAUUGUCAAAAGGGAAACAGCCCAGAUCUACAGCUAAGGUCCCAAAUUGUAUCUAAGUGGAAAACGAUGUGGAAAUACGCAGACAACCAGGAUGUUGGCUCAGAAGCAGCCACUCAUUUAAAGAGUGCGUAAUAGCUCACUGGUCGAGCGUCUCUGCGCGGAAAAUUUAACGGGGCUAAGAUACAAACCGAAGCUUAGGCUGCACGUAAGUGCGGGGUAGGGGAGCGUUGUGUAAGCGGAGAAACAGUAGCGUAAGCGGCUGUGGAGUUUACAGAAGUGAGAAUGCCGGAAUGAGUAGCGCGAAUGUGGUGAGAAUCCACAUGGCCGGAAACCUCAGGUUUUUGGAGGAAGGUUCGUCCGCUCCAAGUUAGGCGGGAGCUAAGGUCAGGCCGAAAGGCGUAGCCGAUGCACAGACGGUAGAGAUUCCGUCCCCACCGAAAGAUUUAAGCACAGGGACACUUUUUGAAGGUCGGAGCCAGGUGUUGGUUCUGGUAGUGAUCGAGGGAAAUAUAGUACCGAAGUCCGGCUGGAAGAGAGGCGAGAAAAGCUGUGUGUAUAUCUAAGGUGCCCGUACCGCAAACCGACACAGGUAGGUAGGAAGAAGAUUCUAAGGCCAACGGGAGAAGGGUUGUUAAGGAACUCGGCAAAUUGACCCCGUAACUUCGGGAGAAGGGGUGCUGCAGCAAUGCAGCCGCAGAGAAUCGGCCCAAGCAACUGUUUACCAAAAACACAGGUUUGUGCUAAAUCGAAAGAUGACGUAUACGAGCUGACGCCUGCCCGGUGCUGGAAGGUUAAGAGGAGAUGUGCAAGCAUUGAAUCGAAGCCCCAGUGAACGGCGGCCGUAACUAUAACGGUCCUAAGGUAGCGAAAUUCCUUGUCAGGUAAGUUCUGACCCGCAUGAAAGGCGUAAUGAUUUGGGCACUGUCUCAACAGCCCGCCCGGCGAAAUUGUAGUACCGGUGAAGAUGCCGGUUACCCGCGACAAGACGGAAAGACCCCAUGGAGCUUUACUGUAGCCUAAUAUUGGGUUUCGAUGUUGCAUGCACAGGAUAGAUGGGACACUGGGAAGCAGGUGCUUUGGCGCUUGUGGAGUGGCCGUUGGGAUACCAUCCUUGCGAUAUUGGAAUUCUAACCUGCGCCUUUGAAUCAAGGCGGGGGACAUUGUUAGGUGGGCAGUUUGACUGGGGCGGUCGCCUCCUAAAGAGUAACGGAGGCGUUCAAAGGUUCGCUCAGCUUGAACGGAAAUCAAGCAAAAGAGUGCAAACGCAGAAGCGAGCCUAACUGCGAGACUGACGGGUCGAGCAGUAACGAAAGUUGGAGUUAGUGAUCCGGUGGUAUGUGAGUGGAAAUGCCAUCGCUCAACGGAUAAAAGUUACCCUGGGGAUAACAGGCUGAUCUCCCCCAAGAGUCCACAUCGACGGGGAGGUUUGGCACCUCGAUGUCGGCUCAUCGCAUCCUGGGGCUGUAUUCGGUCCCAAGGGUUUGGCUGUUCGCCAAUUAAAGCG
RNAcentral lists this ribosomal RNA (2037 nucleotides) under human gut metagenome. Its description in RNAcentral is "bacterial LSU rRNA". It matches the Rfam family "Bacterial large subunit ribosomal RNA", at positions 468 to 2595 of the family's 2925-position model. The record is from RNAcentral.